AACGCGAAGAACCUUACCUGGGCUCGAAAUGUAGAGGACAAACUAAGAAAUUAGUCUUUCGCAAGAACUUCUAUAUAGGUGCUGCAUGGCUGUCGUCAGCUCGUGCCGUGAGGUGUUUGGUUAAGUCCAGCAACGAGCGCAACCCCUAUCUUUAGUUACCAACAGUUAGGCUGGGGACUCUAGAGAGACUGCCGAGGUCAACUCGGAGGAAGGUGGGGAUGACGUCAAGUCCGCAUGGCCUUUAUGUCCAGGGCUACACACGUGCUACAAUGGGCGAUACAAAGGGAAGCAAGACCGCGAGGUGGAGCAAAACCCAUAAAAUCGUUCUCAGUUCAGAUUGCAGCCUGCAACUCGGCUGCAUGAAGUUGGAAUUGCUAGUAAUGGCGUGUCAGCAUUAACGCCGUGAAUACGUUCCCGGGCCUUGUACACACCGUAGAGAC
This 440-nucleotide ribosomal RNA is filed under the name uncultured bacterium. Its description in RNAcentral is "bacterial SSU rRNA". It matches the Rfam family "Bacterial small subunit ribosomal RNA", at positions 958 to 1400 of the family's 1533-position model. The record is from RNAcentral.